Molecule: ribosomal RNA, 468 nt
Filed under: uncultured bacterium
Lineage: Bacteria
Description: partial 16S ribosomal RNA
Rfam family: Bacterial small subunit ribosomal RNA
Source: RNAcentral
GGCGAACGCUGGCGGCGUGCUUAACACAUGCAAGUCGAACGGAAAGGCCCUGCGUUUGUGGGGUGCUCGAGUGGCGAACGGGUGAGUAACACGUGAGUAUCCUGCCCUUGACUUUGGGAUAACUUCACGAAACUGGGGCUAAUAUAGGAUAGGAGCUCCUGCUGCAUGGUGGGGGUUGGAAAGUUUCGGCGGUUGGGGCUGUACUCGCGGCUUAUCAGCUUGAUGGUGGGGUAGUGGCUUACAAAGGCUACGACGGGUAGCCGGCCUGAGAGGGUUGCCGGCCACAUUGGGACUGAGAUACGGCGCAGACUGCUACGGUAGGCAGCAGGGGGGAAUAUUGCACAAUGGGCGGAAGCCUGAUGCGGCAGCGCCGCGUGCGGGAUGACGGCCUUCGGGUUGUGAACCGCUUUCGCCUGUGACGAGGCGGGAGUGACGGUAAUGGGUCAAGAAGCACCGGCUAACUACGUG